Molecule: ribosomal RNA, 850 nt
Filed under: uncultured archaeon
Lineage: Archaea
Description: bacterial SSU rRNA
Rfam family: Archaeal small subunit ribosomal RNA
Source: RNAcentral
GUAACACCGGCAGCCCGAGUGGUGAUCACUAUUAUUGGGUCUAAAGGGUCCGUAGCCGGUUUAAUCAAGUCUUCUGGGAAAUCUAAUCGCUUAACUAUUAGGCUUCCAGGGGAUACUGUUAGACUUGGGACCGGGAGAGGUAAGAGGUACUGCAGGGGUAGGAGUGAAAUCUUGUAAUCCCUGUGAGACCACCAGUGGCGAAGGCGUCUUACCAGAACGGGUCCGACGGUGAGGGACGAAAGCUGGGGGCACGAACCGGAUUAGAUACCCGGGUAGUCUCAGCUGUAAACGAUGCUCGUUAGGUGUCAGGAACGGUGCGACUGUUUCUGGUGCCGAAGGGAAGCCGUGAAACGAGCCACCUGGGAAGUACGGCCGCAAGGCUGAAACUUAAAGGAAUUGGCGGGGGAGCACUACAACGGGUGGAGCCUGCGGUUUAAUUGGACUCAACGCCGGAAAACUCACCGGGGGCGACAGCAAUAUGUAGGUCAGGUUAAAGGUCUUACCUGAAUCGCUGAGAGGAGGUGCAUGGCCGUCGUCAGUUCGUACUGUGAAGCAUCCUGUUAAGUCAGGCAACGAGCAAGACCCGUGCCCACUGUUACCAGCAUAUCCUUUAUGGAUGAUGGGGACUCUGUGGGGACCGCUGCUGCUAAAGCAGAGGAAGGUGCGGGCUACGGUAGGUCAGUAUGCCCCGAAUCUCCCGGGCUACACGCGGGCUACAAUGGUUGGGACAAUGGGUAUCUACUCCGAAAGGAGUUGGCAAUCUCUUAAACCCAAUCGUAGUUCGAAUUGAGGGCUGUACUCGCCCUCAUGAAGCUGGAAUCCGUAGUAAUCGCGUUUCAACAUAGCGCGG